UGGGGAAGCCAACCUGCUUCCUGCUGGUGGGUUUCCAGACUCCACCCGCAGGAUUGUGCUUAGCUGGCCCACGCCUGGUGGUAGAUGACGGGGACUUAGAUACCUAAGCAUCUGGGAAUCGCUAACCUCCAGACAGAUAAAGACACCAAGUGCAUGGCAGGAUCCUGGCAAACGGCAUAUGGCAAAUGCUCACACAAAAUGUGCUGGCUUGAUCAGACCAAUAUGCUCCUGUCAAGAGCAGCAGAACUCGUAGACUCAGGGUGCAUUCUAUCCAGGUUCCUAAACUGAGCUUGGAAGGAAGAGGAAAGAGCUGCAGAGGCGGAGACUCUGACCCCAAAGCGAUCGAGGGCCCUCCCCUGGCUUCCGUGUCCCUGUGGCAGGCGGUGGUGGUCGAAAUCUCUGCCCCUCAGAGUCCUGGGGAGGAUGGAUGGAACAGGAGGAGCAUCAUGAGAAGGCUUCCUGUAAACUACGGAGGGUGAGGGGACGGAGCGUGAGGGAACGUCGUGAGAUGGGUGUGCACCACCGGGCCUGGUGGAAAGCACAUUGUAAAAUGCAAAAUCGUCUGCAAAAGCAAUAAACACUGGCCAAUGAUGAUGACGUUAUGCUAAGUCCCAGAGAACAAGGAAGCCUGUCCUCCCAGGAUGGGCCACAAGAGGGCGCCCUAUGCCCCUAACCUGAGUCACCAGCCCUUUGUACCACGUUUCCUGGAGCAACCGCCCGCCCUUCCUCCUUUUUGUGCUCGUGGAAGCCAGCAGAGGGUGUAGGGUCUCCUGGAGCCACAUCUCUGGAGUUACAUGAAGUUGUGGACCUCUCAACAUGGGUUCUGGGAACUGAACCCAGGUCCUCUGGAAGGACAUCGAGUGCUCUUAACCACUGAGCCAUCUCUGCAGCCUAACCCCAUCCCUUGGAGGCUGAAGCAAAGCAAGUUCAAUGACCGUGCGACCUGGCUCUUGUUUGGGCCUAAGGAAAAGCCGACUGUAAGCCGGGAAGCAUCUCUGGCAAGAACAAGGAAGGAUUAAGCACGUCUGUGGUUGUGCGCAGGGAUCACAAGGUGCUCCUGCAGUGGGAAGAGCCACCACUAGGGGCGCUCCAAGUCUUGUAUUUUCUACCUUGAAAACUCGUUUCCCUGUGGCUGCCCUCCAAAUCCAACGGAGAUGAAUGGCUUUUAGUUUACCUAGCUGAUUUAAUAAACUUUAAAAAUAAA
This 1204-nucleotide long non-coding RNA is filed under the name Mus musculus (house mouse). RNAcentral describes it as "braveheart long non-coding RNA". The record is from RNAcentral. Lineage: Eukaryota; Metazoa; Chordata; Mammalia; Rodentia; Muridae.